GCCCGGGUGAUGUAAUCGGUAGCCAUGCAGAGUUUAAGCCUCUGUGCCGUAAGGCGUGCGAGUUCGAGUCUCGCCCCGGGCACCA
Molecule: transfer RNA, 85 nt
Filed under: Chlamydiota bacterium
Lineage: Bacteria; Pseudomonadati; Chlamydiota
Description: tRNA-Leu
Source: RNAcentral